RNAcentral lists this small RNA (131 nucleotides) under Salmonella enterica subsp. enterica serovar Muenchen. RNAcentral describes it as "RtT sRNA". It matches the Rfam family "RtT RNA". From Rfam's summary of the family: This family represents a bacterial cis-regulatory element known as RtT RNA. The record is from RNAcentral. Lineage: Bacteria; Pseudomonadati; Pseudomonadota; Gammaproteobacteria; Enterobacterales; Enterobacteriaceae. RNAcentral also lists the same sequence under 1 other name.
GUUUGCACUUGUCGGGGAAGGAUGAGAAGCUUCGACUAAGGUUCGAUUCGAGCGCAGCGAGAAAGCGUUGCCGCAGGCAACGACCCGAAGGGCGAAGCGCGCAGCGCUGAGUAAUCCUUCCCCCACCACCA